RNAcentral lists this ribosomal RNA (444 nucleotides) under uncultured bacterium. RNAcentral's name for it is "SSU rRNA". It matches the Rfam family "Bacterial small subunit ribosomal RNA", at positions 26 to 518 of the family's 1533-position model. The record is from RNAcentral.
AGAGCGAACACUGGCGGCAGGCCUAACACAUGCAAGUCGAGCGCCCCGCAAGGGGAGCGGCAGACGGGAGAGUAACACGUGGGAACGUGCCCUUUGGUUCGGAACAACACAGGGAAACUUGUGCUAAUACCGAAUAAGCCCUUACGGGGAAAGAUUUAUCGCCGAAGGAUCGGCCCGCGUCUGAUUAGCUAGUUGGUGGGGUAAUGGCUCACCAAGGCGACGAUCAGUAGCUGGUCUGAGAGGAUGACCAGCCUCAUUGGGACUGAGACACGGCCCAAACUCCUACGGGAGGCAGCAGUGGGGAAUAUUGGACAAUGGGCGCAAGCCUGAUCCAGCCAUGCCGCGUGGAUGAUGAAGGCCUUAGGGUUGUAAAGUCCGUUUUAACGGGGAAGAUAAUGACGGUACCCGUAGAAUAAGCCCGGCUAACUUCGCGCCAGCAGCCGC